GGUUAAGCGACUAAGCGUACACGGUGGAUGCCCGGCAGUCAGAGGCGAUGAAGGACGUGCUAAUCUGCGAAAAGCGUCGGUAAGGUGAUAUGAACCGUUAUAACCGGCGAUGUCCGAAUGGGGAAACCCAGUGUGAUUCGUCACACUAUCGUUAACUGAAUACAUAGGUUAACGAGGCGAACCGGGGAACUGAAACAUCUAAGUACCCCGAGGAAAAGAAAUCAACCGAGAUUCCCCCAGUAGCGGCGAGCGAACGGGGAGCAGCCCAGAGUCUGAAUCAGCUUGUGUGUUAGUGGAACGGUCUGGAAAGUCCGACGGUACAGGGUGAUAGUCCCGUACACCAAAAUGCACAGGCUGUGAACUCGAAGAGUAGGGCGGGACACGUGGUAUCCUGUCUGAAUAUGGGGGACCAUCCUCCAAGGCUAAAUACUCCUGACUGACCGAUAGUGAACCAGUACCGUGAGGGAAAGGCGAAAAGAACCCCGGCGAGGGGAGUGAAAAAGAACCUGAAACCGUGUACGUACAAGCAGUGGGAGCACCUUCGGGUGUGACUGCGUACCUUUGUAUAAUGGGUCAGCGACUUAUAUUCUGUAGCAAGGUUAACCGUAUAGGGGAGCCGCAGGGAAACCGAGUCUUAACUGGGCGUUAAGUUGCAGGGUAUAGACCCGAAACCCGGUGAUCUAGCCAUGGGCAGGUUGAAGGUUGGGUAACACUAACUGGAGGACCGAACCGACUAAUGUUGAAAAAUUAGCGGAUGACUUGUGGCUGGGGGUGAAAGGCCAAUCAAACCGGGAGAUAGCUGGUUCUCCCCGAAAGCUAUUUAGGUAGCGCCUCGUGAAUUCAUCUUCGGGGGUAGAGCACUGUUUCGGCUAGGGGGUCAUCCCGACUUACCAACCCGAUGCAAACUACGAAUACCGAAGAAUGUUAUCACGGGAGACACACGGCGGGUGCUAACGUCCGUCGUGAAGAGGGAAACAACCCAGACCGCCAGCUAAGGUCCCAAAGUCAUGGUUAAGUGGGAAACGAUGUGGGAAGGCACAGACAGCCAGGAUGUUGGCUUAGAAGCAGCCAUCAUUUAAAGAAAGCGUAAUAGCUCACUGGUCGAGUCGGCCUGCGCGGAAGAUGUAACGGGGCUAAACCAUGCACCGAAGCUGCGGCAGCGACACUAUGUGUUGUUGGGUAGGGGAGCGUUCUGUAAGCCUGCGAAGGUGUGCUGUGAGGCAUGCUGGAGGUAUCAGAAGUGCGAAUGCUGACAUAAGUAACGAUAAAGCGGGUGAAAAGCCCGCUCGCCGGAAGACCAAGGGUUCCUGUCCAACGUUAAUCGGGGCAGGGUGAGUCGACCCCUAAGGCGAGGCCGAAAGGCGUAGUCGAUGGGAAACAGGUUAAUAUUCCUGUACUUGGUGUUACUGCGAAGGGGGACGGAGAAGGCUAUGUUAGCCGGGCGACGGUUGUCCCGGUUUAAGCAUGUAGGCUGGUUGUCCAGGCAAAUCCGGAUAAUCAAGGCUGAGGUGUGAUGACGAGGCACUACGGUGCUGAAGUAACAAAUGCCCUGCUUCCAGGAAAAGCCUCUAAGCAUCAGGUAACAUCAAAUCGUACCCCAAACCGACACAGGUGGUCAGGUAGAGAAUACCAAGGCGCUUGAGAGAACUCGGGUGAAGGAACUAGGCAAAAUGGUGCCGUAACUUCGGGAGAAGGCACGCUGGUGUGUAGGUGAAGUCCCUGCGGAUGGAGCUGAGACCAGUCGAAGAUACCAGCUGGCUGCAACUGUUUAUUAAAAACACAGCACUGUGCAAACACGAAAGUGGACGUAUACGGUGUGACGCCUGCCCGGUGCCGGAAGGUUAAUUGAUGGGGUUAUCCGUAAGGAGAAGCUCUUGAUCGAAGCCCCGGUAAACGGCGGCCGUAACUAUAACGGUCCUAAGGUAGCGAAAUUCCUUGUCGGGUAAGUUCCGACCUGCACGAAUGGCGUAAUGAUGGCCGGGCUGUCUCCACCCGAGACUCAGUGAAAUUGAACUCGCUGUGAAGAUGCAGUGUACCCGCGGCAAGACGGAAAGACCCCGUGAACCUUUACUAUAGCUUGACACUGAACAUUGAGCCUUGAUGUGUAGGAUAGGUGGGAGGCUUUGAAGCGUGGACGCCAGUCUGCGUGGAGCCAACCUUGAAAUACCACCCUUUAAUGUUUGAUGUUCUAACGUUGGCCCCUUACCGGGGUUGCGGACAGUGUCUGGUGGGUAGUUUGACUGGGGCGGUCUCCUCCCAAAGCGUAACGGAGGAGCACGAAGGUUAGCUAAUCCUGGUCGGACAUCAGGAGGUUAGUGCAAUGGCAUAAGCUAGCUUGACUGCGAGCGUGACGGCGCGAGCAGGUGCGAAAGCAGGUCAUAGUGAUCCGGUGGUUCUGAAUGGAAGGGCCAUCGCUCAACGGAUAAAAGGUACUCCGGGGAUAACAGGCUGAUACCGCCCAAGAGUUCAUAUCGACGGCGGUGUUUGGCACCUCGAUGUCGGCUCAUCACAUCCUGGGGCUGAAGUAGGUCCCAAGGGUAUGGCUGUUCGCCAUUUAAAGUGGUACGCGAGCUGGGUUUAGAACGUCGUGAGACAGUUCGGUCCCUAUCUGCCGUGGGCGCUGGAGAAUUGAGGGGGGCUGCUCCUAGUACGAGAGGACCGGAGUGGACGCAUCACUGGUGUUCGGGUUGUCAUGCCAAUGGCACUGCCCGGUAGCUAAAUGCGGAAGAGAUAAGUGCUGAAAGCAUCUAAGCACGAAACUUGCCCCGAGAUGAGUUCUCCCUGAGACUUUAAGUCUCCUGAAGGAACGUUAAAGACGAUGACGUUGAUAGGCCGGGUGUGUAAGCGCAGCGAUGCGUUGAGCUAACCGGUACUAAUGAACCGUGAGGCUUAACCUU
This 2897-nucleotide ribosomal RNA is filed under the name Klebsiella pneumoniae. RNAcentral describes it as "23S ribosomal RNA". It matches the Rfam family "Bacterial large subunit ribosomal RNA". The record is from RNAcentral. Lineage: Bacteria; Pseudomonadati; Pseudomonadota; Gammaproteobacteria; Enterobacterales; Enterobacteriaceae.